This 61-nucleotide transfer RNA is filed under the name Mengenilla australiensis. RNAcentral describes it as "tRNA-Tyr". Lineage: Eukaryota; Metazoa; Arthropoda; Insecta; Strepsiptera; Mengenillidae. The record is from RNAcentral.
GAUAAAAGAAUUUUAUUCAUGUAUAAAUUUACAAUUUAUCUCUUUAUUCAGACAUUUUAUC